GCAUAUCAAUAAGCGGAGGGAAUAGAUCCAACAGGGAUUGCCCCAGUAACGGCGAGUGAAGCGGCAACAGCUCAAAUUUGAAAUCUGGCCCUAGGCCCGAGUUGUAAUUUGCAGAGGAUGUUUCUGGCGACGCGCCUUCCGAGUUCCCUGGAACGGGACGCCAUAGAGGGUGAGAGCCCCGUACGGUUGGAUGCCUAGCCUCUGUGAAACUCCUUCGACGAGUCGAGUAGUUUGGGAAUGCUGCUCUAAAUGGGAGGUAUACGUCUUCUAAAGCUAAAUAUUGGCCAGAGACCGAUAGCGCACAAGUAGAGUGAUCGAAAGAUGAAAAGCACUUUGAAAAGAGGGUUAAAUAGUACGUGAAAUUGUUGAAAGGGAAGCACUUAUGACCAGACUUGGGCAGGUUGAUCAUCCGUCGUUCUCGGCGGUGCACUCUGCCUGCCCAGGCCAGCAUCAGUUCGCUUCGGGGGAUAAAGGUUUCGGGAAUGUAGCUCCUUCGGGAGUGUUAUAGCCCGUUGCGUAAUACCCUGGGGUGGACUGAGGUUCGCGCUUCUGCAAGGAUGCUGGCGUAAUGGUCAUCAGUGACCCGUCUUGAAACACGGACCAAGGAGUCGUCUUCGUAUGCGAGUGUUCGGGUGUCAAACCCCUACGCGUAAUGAAAGUGAACGUAGGUGAGAGCUUCGGCGCAUCACCGACCGAUCCUGAUGUUCUCGGAUGGAUUUGAGUAAGAGCAUACGGGGCCGGACCCGAAAGAAGGUGAACUAUGCCUGUAUAGGGUGAAGCCAGAGGAAACUCUGGUGGAGGCUCGCAGCGGGUUCUGACGUGCAAAUCGAUCGUCAAAUAUGGGCAUGGGGGGCGAAAGACUAAUCGGAACCUACUAGUAGCUCGAUUCCGCCGAAG
RNAcentral lists this ribosomal RNA (897 nucleotides) under Stephanonectria keithii. RNAcentral describes it as "LSU rRNA". It matches the Rfam family "Eukaryotic large subunit ribosomal RNA", at positions 38 to 966 of the family's 3401-position model. The record is from RNAcentral. Lineage: Eukaryota; Fungi; Ascomycota; Sordariomycetes; Hypocreales; Nectriaceae.